RNAcentral lists this long non-coding RNA (1105 nucleotides) under Mus caroli (Ryukyu mouse). RNAcentral describes it as "lncRNA (MGP_CAROLIEiJ_G0006802.1)". The record is from RNAcentral. Lineage: Eukaryota; Metazoa; Chordata; Mammalia; Rodentia; Muridae.
AAACAGAGCUGUUAAACAGAGCACAUUAACUAAAGGGCUCCCGAGUUCAAUCUCACAUUUCCCCAGUGCUUUCAAUCAGUUUCUACCACUGAAAGAUUUAAAUUCUGGCCAGUUACUGAGAGGCGGAAAAAAAAUCUCUCCUGUGAAACAGUGACUGUAAAGUCUGGCUUCCACCCAAGCCACAGGAACUUUAAACAGUCUGCGGGCUCAGCGGCCACAGACAGGUUCAAACCGAGUGGGAUGAAAACUGCUCCCAGGUUUUUAAUCUGAGGUCGCAGAAACCCUUCAAAUUUCCCCAUCUCUCUCAGAGGGUUCACGAGGGAAAUAACACUGAGUUGUAUUGUGACCUCUGCCCACUGAUGGGAAAAUAGUUCCAGUUAUUAUAUUGCAUUGAUGGCCACAUAAGUUCCAUCAACUGUAAAGCAAAAUGAAGGUAGAGUGGGCUGUAAAGCCUGCGCUGGAGAUCACAUCAUCACUCAGAACAGAAUUAAGAUAAUUUCAAUUUCAUUUUGGCAAAAGNGUACAUUCAUUCAGGUCUCUCAUACUUUUCCCAUGAAAAAGUUAGCAGUCUGAUUAAUGAUAUCAAGGCUUUGGAAUAAUAGGAACAAGAGAAUGUGCCAGAAACACAUUGAUAUGAAGCUUAAACCAGCUUAAACCAUUCUCCAUAAAUAAUUAAAACAACUUCUAACAAAAGGGCACCUGUGGGGAAUCGCUAACAAUGAAGUUGGAAUAAACUUGGAUUGUUAUAGACUGAGGAGAACGAUGAGAUUUCAGCCAAACACCAUCAGUCUGCAGCACAGGAAGGACCUAUGUGUGAAAAUGCUCCAAGAGAGAAACUUUACGCAAGGAUAUGGGAAACCCAAUGAUAAGCAAAAAUAAUUUCAAACACCAGCUGCAUGCUCAUCAGUUGGACAUCACCAUCUUGCAGGCUAGUCAAGGGAAACCUUCCAUCCUUCUAUUCCUCUCUUCUUUACUCCUAUUAUUUAUGAAGUGAAGGAAAUGAAUGUAAUGGAAUUCAAAUAGAAACAUACUAGNAUAUCUUUUUCACAUUUCUACCUAAAGAUAUGAUAGGAAGAAAAUAUUUUAAGUAAAUUUUGAAAUACCC